Molecule: transfer RNA, 82 nt
Filed under: Chlorobiota bacterium
Lineage: Bacteria; Pseudomonadati; Chlorobiota
Description: Chlorobi bacterium (hydrothermal vent metagenome) tRNA-Leu
Rfam family: tRNA
About the family: Transfer RNA (tRNA) molecules are approximately 80 nucleotides in length. Their secondary structure includes four short double-helical elements and three loops (D, anti-codon, and T loops).
Source: RNAcentral
GCGGAUGUGGCGAAAUUGGCAGACGCGCUAGACUUAGGAUCUUGUGCCGCAAGGCGUGGGGGUUCGAGUCCCUUCAUCCGCA